CUUCCUGGUGCUUAUUGCACGGUGGACCCACUCCGACCCAUCCCGAACUCGGUUGUGAAACGCUGUAGCGGCGAAGAUACUUGGGGGGUAGCCCCCUGGAAAAAUAGCUCGGUGCCAGGUU
This 121-nucleotide ribosomal RNA is filed under the name Acaryochloris marina. RNAcentral also lists the same sequence under 1 other name. The record is from RNAcentral. Lineage: Bacteria; Bacillati; Cyanobacteriota; Cyanophyceae; Acaryochloridales; Acaryochloridaceae.